CCUACGGGUGGCAGCAGUGAGGAAUAUUGGUCAAUGGACGAGAGUCUGAACCAGCCAAGUAGCGUGAAGGAUGACUGCCCUAUGGGUUGUAAACUUCUUUUAUAUGGGAAUAAAACAGGGUAUGCAUACCCUCUUGUAUGUACCAUAUGAAUAAGGAUCGGCUAACUCCGUGCCAGCAGCCGCGGUAAUACGGAGGAUCCGAGCGUUAUCCGGAUUUAUUGGGUUUAAAGGGAGCGUAGGUGGAUUGUUAAGUCAAGGGUGAAAUCCCCGCGCUCAACGUGGGAACUGCCUUUGAAACUGGCAAACGGGAGUGUGUGAGAGGAUAGUGGAAUUCCAGGUGUAGGAGUGAAAUCCGUAGAUAUCUGGAGGAACAUCAGUGGCGAAGGCGACUAUCUGGCACAUAACUGAUGCUGAGGAGCGAAAGCGUGGGUAGCAAACAGGAUUAGAUACCCCGGUAGUC
RNAcentral lists this ribosomal RNA (460 nucleotides) under uncultured bacterium. RNAcentral describes it as "partial 16S ribosomal RNA". It matches the Rfam family "Bacterial small subunit ribosomal RNA", at positions 338 to 795 of the family's 1533-position model. The record is from RNAcentral.